RNAcentral lists this ribosomal RNA (252 nucleotides) under uncultured bacterium. Its description in RNAcentral is "partial 16S ribosomal RNA". It matches the Rfam family "Bacterial small subunit ribosomal RNA", at positions 524 to 776 of the family's 1533-position model. The record is from RNAcentral.
UACGUAGGGAGCAAGCGUUGUCCGGAAUUACUGGGUGUAAAGGGAGCGUAGGCGGGAUGGCAAGUUGGGUGUUAAAUCUACCGGCUCAACUGGUAGUCGCACUCAAAACUGCUAUUCUUGAGUGAAGUAGAGGCAGGCGAAAUUCCUAGUGUAGCGGUGAAAUGCGUAGAUAUUAGGAGGAACACCAGUGGCGAAGGCGGCCAACUGGGCUUUAGCUGACGCUGAGGCUCGAAAGUGUGGGGAGCAAACAGG